AAUACAAGUAGCAUUCCCUUUUCAAAAAUUUCCUAUCCUCUUCCAAAUACUUAACACUUUUUCCACCUACCCAAAACCUCCUUCCAUCAAUUGGCAACAAUUGGUAGUUCAAAUAAAAAUGUGUAAAUUGUUGACUAACCCAUGAAUGAUCUUUAUUUUGUUUAGCAACAUCCCGAGCUUUAAAUUAUACGGCCUACUGCUUAUCCUUUCUCAAAUAUACCAACUCAACCAGAUUCAAUCGAUACCAUGAGUUUGAUUUAAAUACUGCUUCAUCCUCACAGUUGAAGAUUAAGUUUAUUCAUUGGGCGGAAAUUUCUACGUGCAAUCUGAUUGGUCUCUUGUAUGAGUUAUAUUUUUCUUUUAAAUGAUCGCGAUUUCCUUGAUUAAAUAUGAACCACAUUCAUGUCCAUGUAUUUGAUACCUUGACAGUAGUGAUGUCUUACUAUCACAUUUCUAAUGCAUGUUGAAUUUAUUUUCAUCGUAAAUUCUUCACGGCUGGAAAGGCAAGGUGUAUGCUAAGCAGAAAAACAUUCCUGGAAUGAAGAAAUAUCGUGGGAAAAACACCUACAUUUUAAGAUCCAUGAGGCCAUCUCCAGUGUAUCGCAGACCUGGUUAUGGGUAUGCAAAUACCAUAAACUUUAGAAACUUUGAUUUUGAUGAGUAUAAGUGAAAACAAAGUAUAUUUUCUGAUAUCAAACAGUAUUUUAUUUCAACCUUCAAAAGUUUCUGUCAAUUUGAAACCAUAUAUGCAUCCAUUAUGUGACAAUAUAUUUCUGCAAUCUUCACUUCCAUUCUUGCCCUUUUGAUUAUGCAUCCAUUUAUUUAUUUUUAUUUUGGAAUUUUCAUUCAAUGGAUCUUACUUUGAGCCAAAGCUACAUAUAUUGGUGACAGAUGCCUCUCAAGGAGAGAUAUUUGAUUGAAAUUUCUAAUCUGUUAGUCUCACACUUUAUAGUUUUUAACUUCAUUUUUCUGAAUGAGUUUAUACACAACAUGUAUUUAUGAUUUAUGUGCACUUGAUAUUCAAAAUGUAAUGGAUGCGUAUGCAAGUGUUGAUCAUUCAUGUCUUCCAUCAUAUUGAAAAUGAAUUCACAUGUGAUAGGAAUAGAGAGGAUAUACACAACUAGAGGAAGACAACAUUUGUUUGAUAUACAUCUAGAGGAAGCCAAUAUUUGUGUGAUAGGAACAUAUAUGAUAUUUACAACAAAAGAAAGACAACAUUUGUGUGAUAGGAAUAAAGAUGAUAUACACAACAUCAAGAAGACAAUACUUUGUUUGAUAAGAACACAAAUGAUAUAGACAACAAUAGGAAGCCAACAUUUGUUUGAUUCAAACACAAAUUAUAUAUACAACUAUAGGAAGAAUUAUUUCACUAUUUUUUAUUUUAGUGUCUUAAGGCUAAAUAUCAAGACAAUUCACAUGUCCUCUAAGUUCACAUUUUGAGAUCAUGUUGAAUUAUUAAACUUGGAGAACAAGUUAUUAAAUGUAAGGAUUUA
Molecule: long non-coding RNA, 1493 nt
Organism: Lathyrus oleraceus (garden pea)
Lineage: Eukaryota; Viridiplantae; Streptophyta; Magnoliopsida; Fabales; Fabaceae
Exons: 5
Source: RefSeq, a predicted model, not a curated record